Molecule: non-coding RNA, 81 nt
Organism: Lupinus angustifolius (narrow-leaved blue lupine)
Lineage: Eukaryota; Viridiplantae; Streptophyta; Magnoliopsida; Fabales; Fabaceae
Source: Rfam
GUUGGCAAUUGAUGUUAAAAAAUAUUAUCUUACACUGAUUAUAUGUGAAGAUAAAAACUCCGCUUAUUAUCUGAUGCCUUC